ACGCACGCUGGCGGCGUGCUUAACCCCUGCAAGUCGCACGGAAAGGCCUUUUCGGAGGUACUCGAGUGGCGAACGGGUGAGUAACACGUGGGUGAUCUGCCCUGCACUCUGGGAUAAGCCUGGGAAACUGGGUCUAAUACCGGAUAGGACCGCACUUUAGUGUGUGUGGUGGACAGUUGUUUCGGUGUAGGAUGAGCCCGCGGCCUAUCAGCUUGUUGGUGGGGUAAUGGCCUACCAAGGCGGCGACGGGUAGCCGGACUGAGAGGUUGGUCGGCCACAUUGGGACUGAGAUACGGCCCAGACUCCUACGGGAGGCAGCAGUGGGGAAUAUUGCACAAUGGGCGCAAGCCUGAUGCAGCGACGCCGCGUGGGGGAUGACGGCCUUCGGGUUGUAAACUCCUUUCGCCAGGGACGAAGCGUUUUGUGACGGUACCUGGAGAAGAAGCACCGGCUAACUACGUG
Molecule: ribosomal RNA, 462 nt
Filed under: uncultured bacterium
Lineage: Bacteria
Description: partial 16S ribosomal RNA
Rfam family: Bacterial small subunit ribosomal RNA
Source: RNAcentral